RNAcentral lists this ribosomal RNA (507 nucleotides) under Streptococcus agalactiae. RNAcentral describes it as "bacterial SSU rRNA". It matches the Rfam family "Bacterial small subunit ribosomal RNA", at positions 36 to 525 of the family's 1533-position model. The record is from RNAcentral. Lineage: Bacteria; Bacillati; Bacillota; Bacilli; Lactobacillales; Streptococcaceae.
CUGGCGGCGUGCCUAAUACAUGCAAGUAGAACGCUGAGGUUUGGUGUUUACACUAGACUGAUGAGUUGCGAACGGGUGAGUAACGCGUAGGUAACCUGCCUCAUAGCGGGGGAUAACUAUUGGAAACGAUAGCUAAUACCGCAUAAGAGUAAUUAACACAUGUUAGUUAUUUAAAAGGAGCAAUUGCUUCACUGUGAGAUGGACCUGCGUUGUAUUAGCUAGUUGGUGAGGUAAAGGCUCACCAAGGCGACGAUACAUAGCCGACCUGAGAGGGUGAUCGGCCACACUGGGACUGAGACACGGCCCAGACUCCUACGGGAGGCAGCAGUAGGGAAUCUUCGGCAAUGGACGGAAGUCUGACCGAGCAACGCCGCGUGAGUGAAGAAGGUUUUCGGAUCGUAAAGCUCUGUUGUUAGAGAAGAACGUUGGUAGGAGUGGAAAAUCUACCAAGUGACGGUAACUAACCAGAAAGGGACGGCUAACUACGUGCCAGCCGCCGCGGUAAUU